RNAcentral lists this ribosomal RNA (380 nucleotides) under uncultured bacterium. RNAcentral describes it as "bacterial SSU rRNA". It matches the Rfam family "Bacterial small subunit ribosomal RNA", at positions 28 to 410 of the family's 1533-position model. The record is from RNAcentral.
GAUGAACGCUGGCGGCGUGCUUAACACAUGCAAGUCGAACGAUGAAGGUAGCUUGCUACUGGAUUAGUGGCGAACGGGUGAGUAACACGUGAGUAACCUGCCCUUGACUCUGGGAUAAGCACUGGAAACGGUGUCUAAUACCGGAUACGAGCUUCCGCCGCAUGGUGAGGAGUUGGAAAGAAUUUCGGUCAAGGAUGGACUCGCGGCCUAUCAGCUAGUUGGUGAGGUAAUGGCUCACCAAGGCGACGACGGGUAGCCGGCCUGAGAGGGUGACCGGCCACACUGGGACUGAGACACGGCCCAGACUCCUACGGGAGGCAGCAGUGGGGAAUAUUGCACAAUGGGCGAAAGCCUGAUGCAGCAACGCCGCGUGAGGGACG